Molecule: ribosomal RNA, 253 nt
Filed under: uncultured bacterium
Lineage: Bacteria
Description: partial 16S ribosomal RNA
Rfam family: Bacterial small subunit ribosomal RNA
Source: RNAcentral
AACGUAGGGUGCAAGCGUUGUCCGGAAUUACUGGGUGUAAAGGGAGCGCAGGCGGAUCGACAAGUUGGGAGUGAAAACUACGGGCUCAACCCGUAACCUGCUUUCAAAACUGUCGGUCUUGAGUGGUGUAGAGGUAGGCGGAAUUCCCGGUGUAGCGGUGGAAUGCGUAGAUAUCGGGAGGAACACCAGUGGCGAAGGCGGCCUACUGGGCACUAACUGACGCUGAGGCUCGAAAGCAUGGGUAGCAAACAGG